GAUGAACGCUGGCGGCGUGCCUAAUACAUGCAAGUCGAGCGAACAGACGAGGAGCUUGCUCCUUUGACGUUAGCGGCGGACGGGUGAGUAACACGUGGGUAACCUACCUAUAAGACUGGGAUAACUUCGGGAAACCGGAGCUAAUACCGGAUAAUAUUUCGAACCGCAUGGUUCGAUAGUGAAAGAUGGCUUUGCUAUCACUUAUAGAUGGACCUGCGCCGUAUUAGCUAGUUGGUAAGGUGACGGCUUACCAAGGCAACGAUACGUAGCCGACCUGAGAGGGUGAUCGGCCACACUGGAACUGAGACACGGUCCAGACUCCUACGGGAGGCAGCAGUAGGGAAUCUUCCGCAAUGGGCGAAAGCCUGACGGAGCAACGCCGCGUGAGUGAUGAAGGUCUUCGGAUCGUAAAACUCUGUUAUUAGGGAAGAACAAACGUGUAAGUAACUGUGCACGUCUUGACGGUACCUAAUCAGAAAGCCACGGCCAACUACGUG
This 497-nucleotide ribosomal RNA is filed under the name uncultured bacterium. Its description in RNAcentral is "partial 16S ribosomal RNA". It matches the Rfam family "Bacterial small subunit ribosomal RNA", at positions 28 to 507 of the family's 1533-position model. The record is from RNAcentral.